Long non-coding RNA from Triticum aestivum (bread wheat), 968 nucleotides. RefSeq lists it as uncharacterized. Lineage: Eukaryota; Viridiplantae; Streptophyta; Magnoliopsida; Poales; Poaceae. The transcript is spliced from 2 exons. The record is from RefSeq and is a predicted model, not a curated record.
UGUUGGCCUAAAAAAAUUAUAUUUGUGGGAUAACCACAUACGGAGAACGACAGAGGCAGUAGCCAGCGUGAACCAGCUCCUCCUCGUGCUCUCCGCCUGUCUCUCUCCAAGCUUUCCUCUUCCUCCGUUCCCCUCCCCUCUCCCUCUGGCCUCCCUUGUAGGUAGUCAGUAGUUAGCAAGAGGCGCUCGCCGGCUGGAGGCGCGUCUGCAGCCUAGAUUCUCUCCCCGCUGCUCCAUGCUUGUCCCGGUUCUUGGUGUCCUCUUUGGAGUUGCUCCAUGGUUUGCUGGAGCUCACCGAGCAACCAUGGCGCCACCCCGAACUCUGGAUCCGGCGCCCCCAAACCUCGACGGCCUCCCCCGCGCGCCUCCCUGACCCUCCUCCAUCUGGAUCCGUCCGGUGGCAGCCGGAUUGUCGCCGUUCUCUGGAGUCAAACCCGGAUCCAACACGCGCUGAUUAUGCCGCUGCCCCGCCUCCCGCGCGUCCUCCUCCUCCCAGUCGUGGCCCAUGGCGGCGAGGAGCGUGUUGAGCAGCCCGAUCGUGGUCGGCGGCGUGCGCUGCAGCCAGCCGGCGCGGGCCUGGAGCGCUGCGGCCUGGGCCUCGCUGUCGGCGAACCGCGUGCGGCGAAGAGGAGGCAGGCCGUGGUGUGGGGAGGAGGGCGCGGCGGAGAGGAGGUAGGCCGGCGCGCGGGGAUGGCGUCGCGGAUGAUGCGGACCGGCGGCGGGGAGGCGGAGGAUCCAGAUCGGGGUGGGAGGCGCGGUCGCUCGACUCUGGGUUUUUUUUUUUGGCAAACCGCACACGCGUCCACGGAUGGAUUAGAAAUACGAAACAUUUUUUUUCACAUAUUUACUGGACUGUGGGUUAAUUACUUAAUAUCAUAGGGUUUUUUCUGUAAAAAUGCCGACGACGUACGGCAGAAACCCAAUUUGCUUUAUUAUUAUAUUAUAUUAUAUUAUUAUUAUUAUUAUUA